RNAcentral lists this transfer RNA (65 nucleotides) under Theropithecus gelada (gelada). RNAcentral describes it as "tRNA-Lys". The record is from RNAcentral. Lineage: Eukaryota; Metazoa; Chordata; Mammalia; Primates; Cercopithecidae.
CACUGUACAGCUGUCUCAGCAUUAACCUUUUAAGUUAAAGAUUGAGGGCAUACCCUCUGCAGUGA